GGGGCACGGUUGCAAAGGUAACCUGCAGCUUAAUUGACCUCAGGGCGCCACAACUCGUGCGGCCCGGACACCAAUUUGACUGACCGACUGAAAACUCUUUCGGACCGGAGAGGGUGGGGGUGGAUGGACUGUCUUAUCUGUCGUAGCGAUUUGGCUGGUGAAGUCCGAUCACUCUUAAUAGUCGGACCUAUUUGACAGACUAAGUCCCAUAAAGAAUAACACGCUGCUCAAAGGGACAAGCGAUGUCUAGCCAAGUGAAAUACGCUUCUUACAGGGCUGUGAUGCCCUUAGACGCCCGGAACUGAACACGCGCUAGACUGAAAUAACCUUAGAUGGCCUUGCCUACACCGGAACGAUUGUGAAACCAUCGGUGAUUCUUUCGCGCUUGCCAUAAGGAAUGGCAAUUCUUUCCCUUAUCUUACGAGCUCGCAGUAGAUGCUUGUCAUUAUCUCGCUUAGAUUACGACUUUGCCCUUUGUGCGCACCGUCCGCUCGUGCUACUUACUGCAUUGCUCAUUGA
RNAcentral lists this ribosomal RNA (519 nucleotides) under uncultured eukaryote. RNAcentral's name for it is "bacterial SSU rRNA". It matches the Rfam family "Eukaryotic small subunit ribosomal RNA", at positions 1161 to 1704 of the family's 1831-position model. The record is from RNAcentral.